UACGUAUGGGGCAAGCGUUGUUCGGAAUUAUUGGGCGUAAAGGGCGCUCAGGCGGGGGAUUAAGUUGGAUGUGAAAUCUAUGGGCUCAACCCGUAAACUGCAUCCAAAACUGGUUCUCUUGAGUUCGGGAGAGGAGAGCGGAAUUCUUGGUGUAGCGGUGAAAUGCGUAGAUAUCAAGAAGAACACCAGUGGCGAAGGCGGCUCUCUGGCCUAGAACUGACGCUGAAGCGCGAAAGCGUGGGGAGCGAACGGGAUUAGAAACCCGGGUAGUCC
This 273-nucleotide ribosomal RNA is filed under the name uncultured Leptospira sp. RNAcentral's name for it is "partial 16S ribosomal RNA". It matches the Rfam family "Bacterial small subunit ribosomal RNA", at positions 524 to 796 of the family's 1533-position model. Lineage: Bacteria; Pseudomonadati; Spirochaetota; Leptospiria; Leptospirales; Leptospiraceae. The record is from RNAcentral.